GGAAGUGUUUUUUGAGUGGAAAAGACAUCUUUGAACUCAUGGAGUAGUUCUUGGAUGGAUGGCUGUAUUUUCUGUUUGGUGUAUGCCUCCAUUAUCUUCACUACUGCACAGGCCCAAAUGUUGUUGCCCUGAGCCCAUUUCACCAAUUGAUUGGCAGACAUUUCUUGCAGAGCUAAUUCUCUCGGUGUGAGCACCCCUUGAAUCUUCACUGGUUUCCCAUUUUCUUCA
This 228-nucleotide long non-coding RNA is filed under the name Setaria viridis. RNAcentral describes it as "long non-coding RNA (SVIR_LNC008760)". Lineage: Eukaryota; Viridiplantae; Streptophyta; Magnoliopsida; Poales; Poaceae. The record is from RNAcentral.